Long non-coding RNA from Cyprinus carpio (common carp), 646 nucleotides. Lineage: Eukaryota; Metazoa; Chordata; Actinopteri; Cypriniformes; Cyprinidae. The record is from Ensembl.
GAGUAAUCCUCCAUGGUGACGUUUAACCAAAGUUUAACCACAUUUCAGUUUAUUCCCUGUUGUUGUUUAGAGCAGAUGUGAGGCUGAGAGUAUCUUGAGGUUCAAGCCCACCCAGGCAGAACAAUAUCUGCACAUUAGCCACGUCUUUCAGUCCAACCUAAACUCUGACCAUCCAGCAACAAUUAUUAAUGAAAACAAAGAAGAACAACGACCCUCGAGAGGUGUUCUUCUAAAAUAAGAAUAUAAGAAUGUGUAAUUUUAUAGUGAGGUUUUUUGAGACCCUCAACCACCUGAUUCCACUUUGCUUUUAAGGAGAAGGAAGCCAGUUUGGAAGACAGCCUGCCCGCACAAUACUUGGAGGAUUCCAGCUCGUCUUUGGAGGAAAGGUUCAGGGGCCGGCGUGGAGGGCUUCCGCUACAAUUUUCAACCGCAGCAAUGUCAACUGGAGCCAAAUCGCAAUAAGUGGAGCAUUUAAGAGAAAGGACAACCAGCAGAUGAUUGACAAGAGCUGCUGGCACUUCUGACUGUUGUUCUAACGUCUUAAAGUGACGGUAAGAUGACAAUGUUCUUUCACAGUUUACUUGUAGAUGAUCAUAGUGUGAUUGUGAAUAGAUUUUUUGACAAUUUGCUUGGUUCAUCAACUGUU